UGGCAGUCAGAGGCGAUGAAGGACGUGCUAAUCUGCGAUAAGCGUCGGUAAGGUGAUAUGAACCGUUAUAACCGGCGAUUUCCGAAUGGGGAAACCCAGUGUGAUUCGUCACACUAUCAUUAACUGAAUCCAUAGGUUAAUGAGGCGAACCGGGGGAACUGAAACAUCUAAGUACCCCGAGGAAAAGAAAUCAACCGAGAUUCCCCCAGUAGCGGCGAGCGAACGGGGAGCAGCCCAGAGCCUGAAUCAGUGUGUGUGUUAGUGGAAGCGUCUGGAAAGGCGCGCGAUACAGGGUGACAGCCCCGUACACAAAAAUGCACAUGCUGUGAGCUCGAUGAGUAGGGCGGGACACGUGGUAUCCUGUCUGAAUAUGGGGGGACCAUCCUCCAAGGCUAAAUACUCCUGACUGACCGAUAGUGAACCAGUACCGUGAGGGAAAGGCGAAAAGAACCCCGGCGAGGGGAGUGAAAAAGAACCUGAAACCGUGUACGUACAAGCAGUGGGAGCACGCUUAGGCGUGUGACUGCGUACCUUUUGUAUAAUGGGUCAGCGACUUAUAUUCUGUAGCAAGGUUAACCGAAUAGGGGAGCCGAAGGGAAACCGAGUCUUAACUGGGCGUUAAGUUGCAGGGUAUAGACCCGAAACCCGGUGAUCUAGCCAUGGGCAGGUUGAAGGUUGGGUAACACUAACUGGAGGACCGAACCGACUAAUGUUGAAAAAUUAGCGGAUGACUUGUGGCUGGGGGUGAAAGGCCAAUCAAACCGGGAGAUAGCUGGUUCUCCCCGAAAGCUAUUUAGGUAGCGCCUCGUGAAUUCAUCUCCGGGGGUAGAGCACUGUUUCGGCAAGGGGGUCAUCCCGACUUACCAACCCGAUGCAAACUGCGAAUACCGGAGAAUGUUAUCACGGGAGACACACGGCGGGUGCUAACGUCCGUCGUGAAGAGGGAAACAACCCAGACCGCCAGCUAAGGUCCCAAAGUCAUGGUUAAGUGGGAAACGAUGUGGGAAGGCCCAGACAGCCAGGAUGUUGGCUUAGAAGCAGCCAUCAUUUAAAGAAAGCGUAAUAGCUCACUGGUCGAGUCGGCCUGCGCGGAAGAUGUAACGGGGCUAAACCAUGCACCGAAGCUGCGGCAGCGACGCUGAUGCGUUGUUGGGUAGGGGAGCGUUCUGUAAGCCUGUGAAGGUGUGCUGUGAGGCAUGCUGGAGGUAUCAGAAGUGCGAAUGCUGACAUAAGUAACGAUAAAGCGGGUGAAAAGCCCGCUCGCCGGAAGACCAAGGGUUCCUGUCCAACGUUAAUCGGGGCAGGGUGAGUCGACCCCUAAGGCGAGGCCGAAAGGCGUAGUCGAUGGGAAACAGGUUAAUAUUCCUGUACUUGGUGUUACUGCGAAGGGGGGACGGAGAAGGCUAUGUUGGCCGGGCGACGGUUGUCCCGGUUUAAGCGUGUAGGCUGGUUUUCCAGGCAAAUCCGGAAAAUCAAGGCUGAGGCGUGAUGACGAGGCACUACGGUGCUGAAGCAACAAAUGCCCUGCUUCCAGGAAAAGCCUCUAAGCAUCAGGUAACAUCAAAUCGUACCCCAAACCGACACAGGUGGUCAGGUAGAGAAUACCAAGGCGCUUGAGAGAACUCGGGUGAAGGAACUAGGCAAAAUGGUGCCGUAACUUCGGGAGAAGGCACGCUGAUAUGUAGGUGAAGUCCCUCGCGGAUGGAGCUGAAAUCAGUCGAAGAUACCAGCUGGCUGCAACUGUUUAUUAAAAACACAGCACUGUGCAAACACGAAAGUGGACGUAUACGGUGUGACGCCUGCCCGGUGCCGGAAGGUUAAUUGAUGGGGUCAGCGCAAGCGAAGCUCUUGAUCGAAGCCCCGGUAAACGGCGGCCGUAACUAUAACGGUCCUAAGGUAGCGAAAUUCCUUGUCGGGUAAGUUCCGACCUGCACGAAUGGCGUAAUGAUGGCCAGGCUGUCUCCACCCGAGACUCAGUGAAAUUGAACUCGCUGUGAAGAUGCAGUGUACCCGCGGCAAGACGGAAAGACCCCGUGAACCUUUACUAUAGCUUGACACUGAACAUUGAGCCUUGAUGUGUAGGAUAGGUGGGAGGCUUUGAAGUGUGGACGCCAGUCUGCAUGGAGCCGGCCUUGAAAUACCACCCUUUAAUGUUUGAUGUUCUAACGUUGACCCGUAAUCCGGGUUGCGGACAGUGUCUGGUGGGUAGUUUGACUGGGGCGGUCUCCUCCUAAAGAGUAACGGAGGAGCACGAAGGUUGGCUAAUCCUGGUCGGACAUCAGGAGGUUAGUGCAAUGGCAUAAGCCAGCUUGACUGCGAGCGUGACGGCGCGAGCAGGUGCGAAAGCAGGUCAUAGUGAUCCGGUGGUUCUGAAUGGAAGGGCCAUCGCUCAACGGAUAAAAGGUACUCCGGGGAUAACAGGCUGAUACCGCCCAAGAGUUCAUAUCGACGGCGGUGUUUGGCACCUCGAUGUCGGCUCAUCACAUCCUGGGGCUGAAGUAGGUCCCAAGGGUAUGGCUGUUCGCCAUUUAAAGUGGUACGCGAGCUGGGUUUAGAACGUCGUGAGACAGUUCGGUCCCUAUCUGCCGUGGGCGCUGGAGAACUGAGGGGGGCUGCUCCUAGUACGAGAGGACCGGAGUGGACGCAUCACUGGUGUUCGGGUUGUCAUGCCAAUGGCACUGCCCGGUAGCUAAAUGCGGAAGAGAUAAGUGCUGAAAGCAUCUAAGCACGAAACUUGCCCCGAGAUGAGUUCUCCCUGACUCCUUGAGAGUCCUGAAGGAACGUUGAAGACGACGACGUUGAUAGGCCGGGUGUGUAAGCGCAGCGAUGCGUUGAGCUAACCGGUACUAAUGAACCGUGAGGCUUAACCUUACAACGCCGAAG
RNAcentral lists this ribosomal RNA (2883 nucleotides) under Escherichia coli. RNAcentral describes it as "bacterial LSU rRNA". It matches the Rfam family "Bacterial large subunit ribosomal RNA". Lineage: Bacteria; Pseudomonadati; Pseudomonadota; Gammaproteobacteria; Enterobacterales; Enterobacteriaceae. The record is from RNAcentral.